Grus americana (Whooping crane) is the source of this 677-nucleotide long non-coding RNA. RefSeq lists it as uncharacterized. The transcript has 3 exons. The record is from RefSeq and is a predicted model, not a curated record. Lineage: Eukaryota; Metazoa; Chordata; Aves; Gruiformes; Gruidae.
UCGGAUGCCAAACUUUUCCAAUUAUGAGAGCGCAGUAAUUCACCAAGGACUGGAUCAGUUUCCUGGGCUGGCUCACAGAGAUGCUGCACGGGCAGACCCCUAAGUGUCGUGCCCUUCGCAGAGCUAACAUGAUCUCCAGAUAGCAGCAGAUGGCACUCGACGGCUUGUGUUGUGUCCGCAACUCCUCGCGCACAUUUUACCCUUCUCCGGGCUUCAAUUCCCUCCCCCAACAUUGUGCCCCAUCACAUCAUCUCUUGGGGGUGCAACCGCUGGACCAUGCUCUUUCUCCUGUAUAAAGAUACACAGCUGCUGCUUGUGGAUGUAGGCUCCUAAUGAGUGGGUACCACUUGGACCAAGGCUACUGAUGCUGUGGAGAAACGUUCCCCAGAGAGCUGGCAGAGAUGUCUCUUCGCCUUGGCCAGUGGCCUCCCUGUGACCUGUACCAAACAAUAAAAAAGACAGCAGAAUAACUGAAAAAUGACAUAUAUCCUUUGUUUGCCUUGGCCUCCACUGACACCUCCUCCUCCCCUCCCACACUGUCAGGCUGCAGGGGAGUGAGAUCAUCCAUGCUGUCCCUUGCAGCGGGUCAGCCCUUGCUGGCCCACCUGGUGCUCAUGUUGCUAAAUAUAACGAGGAUGAGUGGCACCGGCAAACACAUCUAAUUGUCACGCGGCAGA